This 921-nucleotide long non-coding RNA is filed under the name Fragaria vesca (wild strawberry). RNAcentral's name for it is "long non-coding RNA (FVES_LNC005307)". The record is from RNAcentral. Lineage: Eukaryota; Viridiplantae; Streptophyta; Magnoliopsida; Rosales; Rosaceae.
AGGGGUUGUUGCACGGGAGGAGGGCUACAAAACCGUACCAAGCUUGCCCGGAUUGGUGGCCGGAGGAGGAAGUUCCGGCGAAAAAACCGAUUCGGCAGUCGAAGCUUUCGGGCGGCACCGCUCACUCACGGCGGCGCUAGGGCUCCUCUCACCGGUCCAGGGAGGCUGCUGGGUUGGAGGUCGAUCGAUUGGAACCGGUGCGGCGGUCUGGGGCGGCCGGACGGCGGCGGACGGCGGUGGUGAAGUUUCCCGGGUGGAGGGAGAAGAAAUGCGGGUGGGAAGAGAGAAAACGGAAGGGAGAGAGAGAGAAAGGAAGAAGAAAUGGGUUGGGCUCGGCCCAGCCGACCCAACAAGCCUUUUAACCCAAAAUUCCAAAAUUCAACACCCCGAAAAAUAAUACCCGAAUAAAAAUUACCUUUUACUAGCUAAAAUUUACUAUUUUUACCGUCGUCGUAUUUUCCCCAUACGAAUUAUCCUCCGCACAUAAUCGUCCCCGAAACCCCUCUAGGGACCAAUUAAACUAUUUACUCAAUGAUCGGAACGGUAAAAAUUCUUAUUAUAAUCAAGCUAGUAAAUAAGGUAAAAAUAUAAGGGUCGGGAUGUGACAAUAUCGAUCACUAUAUGCUGUGUUAACGUUAACAUCGCCUCACUAAUAUAGGUUUGGAAACUUCCCCUACAAGUAGUUUCUUGUAAGAUGAUAAAUCUGUGGAUUUUCAAUUUUUCUUGGUGUGAGAAGUCAGAAUACUCGGAACAAAAACACCACGGUUUCUGGACUCGAUCAGGUCAACUUCAUUGUCUGAAAAUACAGCAAAUGAAUGUAUUGCUUAGGUAUGAGUAUAUGAAUUUGUGUCAUUUUGCUCAUAUAAUCUAAGGUGUUUUGAGUAUGACAUGCAAAUGACAAGUACUUUUGAAAAACAACAG